This 308-nucleotide ribosomal RNA is filed under the name Pandarus rhincodonicus. Its description in RNAcentral is "s-rRNA". Lineage: Eukaryota; Metazoa; Arthropoda; Copepoda; Siphonostomatoida; Pandaridae. The record is from RNAcentral.
UAGUAGUACGUGGAGGGAACUAAACUCACAUGGCAGAAUUAACACGCAAAUUAGGGAAACUUGUAUUAAUGAAUUUACUCAUUACUCAUCUAUUUUGUUAAAGUAUGGCUGUCUAAAAUAUCUAAAUGGGGAGUUAGUCAAGUUACAUUUUAUAUAAUAGGUAAAAUAUGAGUUGCAUUGGUAUACCUAAAAAAUAGUAUUUAAUAGUAAGUUAAAAAGCACUGAAUACCCUGUAGUUAGUUCAAAUUGUCCGUCACUCUCUUUGGAGAUAAGUCGUAGCAAAGUAACAGUUGUGGAAAUAGCUGUUA